GGGUGUGAGGGCAAUCUGGCUGUGACAUCUGUCACCCUAUUGAUCACCAGGCUUGUUUCAGUUGAUCUGGCUGGUUAGGCAACUAUCCCCUUCUUCCCUCACCACUCUACAGGCACCCCUACCGAAGGUGUGCGCCUGGUCGAAGAGGACCACCUUCCCUGAUAGAGGAGGACUGUUCUUUGGUCAAGGGUAUAUGCGUAGUUUCUCUCCCAUGCUAGAACCUCCAAACAAGAUUUCAAGAGAUGGUGGGCAGCCCCAAAACAUGACAAAUGUCUAUUGAAGAAUUUGGCUCUGAAACAUUAACAUACACAUACUUUUUCCAUAU
Molecule: non-coding RNA, 325 nt
Organism: Felis catus (domestic cat)
Lineage: Eukaryota; Metazoa; Chordata; Mammalia; Carnivora; Felidae
Rfam family: 7SK RNA
About the family: 7SK was discovered as an abundant small nuclear RNA in the mid-70s but a possible function has only recently been suggested. Two independent studies have found that 7SK RNA binds the CDK9/cyclin T complex (known as elongation factor P-TEFb).
Source: Rfam